ACGGCCGUUUGGCGCUAGGAACGCCAGUCUGAAGUGCCAGGUGCAGGUUGUCUGCAGCGGCCGCCGGCGAGCGAGUGAGACGGAACCAAGCGCCAAGGAAAAGGAAAAAGAAGGGUAAGAAGACCUGCGCCAAGGCCUGGGGAUGGAACAGGGAGCCUCCAGGACCUACAGGGUUCUGAAAUUAUUACUGCAAAUGGGAUUUGGAGGCAAAGAAACCUGAAAUUAGAGUGACCAACCAUUGCGCUCUGCCUCGGACUGCGAGCUUGUCCAAGAUGCAGGAUUUUCAGUGCAAAACUGGGCUGGUUGGUCAUGCUAUCUGGAAUCAAAUCCUAACUCUACUGUUUACCAUGUGUGUGACCCUGAACGUGUUAUUUUUCUCUCUCUGAGCCUCACUUUUCUGACAUCCCAGUGAGGAUAACAAUGUUUACCCCCACAGUAUUAUUAUAAGGAUUAAGUAAGAUAAUAUUUUCCGUAAGGAUUAAGGGAAGUACCAUAUAAUCACCCCUCCAGUGACUUCCAUCCAAAUAAAACCUAAA
This is a long non-coding RNA of Vicugna pacos (alpaca), 536 nucleotides long. RefSeq lists it as uncharacterized. The record is from RefSeq and is a predicted model, not a curated record. Lineage: Eukaryota; Metazoa; Chordata; Mammalia; Artiodactyla; Camelidae.